RNAcentral lists this ribosomal RNA (468 nucleotides) under uncultured bacterium. RNAcentral describes it as "partial 16S ribosomal RNA". It matches the Rfam family "Bacterial small subunit ribosomal RNA", at positions 28 to 507 of the family's 1533-position model. The record is from RNAcentral.
GACGAACGCUGGCGGCGUGCUUAACACAUUCAAGUCGAACGGAAAGGCCCUGCUUUUGUGGGGGGCUCGAGUGGCGAACGUGUGAGUAACACGUGAGUAACCUGCCCUUGACUUUGGGAUAACUUCAGGAAACUGGGGCUAAUACCGGAUAGGAGCUCCUGCUGCAUGGUGGGGGUUGGAAAGUUUCGGCGGUUGGGGAUGGACUCGCGGCUUAUCAGCUUGUUGGUGGGGUAGUGGCUUACCAAGGCUUUGACGGGUAGCCGGCCUGAGAGGGUGACCGGCCACAUUGGGAAGGAGAUACGGCCCAGACUCCGACGGGAGGCAGCAGUGGGGAAUCUUGCACAAUGGGCGGAAGCCUGAUGCAGCAACGCCGCGUGCGGGAUGAAGGCCUUCGGGUUGUAAACCGCUUUCGCCUGUGACGAAGCGUGAGUGACGGUAAUGGGUAAAGAAGCACGGGCUAACUACGUG